AACGCACCUUGCGCUCUUGGGUUAUUCCUAAGAGCAUGCUUGUUUGAGUGUCGCAAACUUCUCAACCCCGCCAAAGCUUAACACCUUUGGUAGAUUGGGUUUGAAUCAUGGCCACUGUCGGUAUAUUAAGUUAUGCAGACUUGGCUGAAAUGUAACAAGCUGAAUUACAAUACUUGCGGCUUGAGCUAUCGUUGUAGAAUUUAAAAACUCGAUAGUAACGCAAGAUAUGUGAACGAGCUUCUAAUCAUAUCAAACGCUGUUUAGUUCAAACAGUGCAUUCAGACCUCAAAUCAAGUAGGACUACCCGCUGAACUUAA
RNAcentral lists this unclassified non-coding RNA (317 nucleotides) under Peniophorella sp. RNAcentral describes it as "partial contains 5.8S ribosomal RNA, internal transcribed spacer 2, and large subunit ribosomal RNA". RNAcentral also lists the same sequence under 2 other names. Lineage: Eukaryota; Fungi; Basidiomycota; Agaricomycetes; Hymenochaetales. The record is from RNAcentral.